GGGCCGGGGCUCGGCCCGUGAGGGAGGCGGGUGCCCGUGAGGGAAGCGGGUGCCUGGCGGGCCGCGGCUCGGCCCGUGAGGGAGGCGGGUGCCCGGCGGGCCCUGCCGGCCGUGGAGCGCCCGCCCGGCGCCGGCACUGCCAACAGCUGAGGCCGGGCAGCCCCGGCAGCAGCAGAAACCCCCGGCCUCAAGCUCAAGCAAGCCCCGUGACUCGCUAUCGUUUCACCGCAUUAGCUCAAAUGACGGGGAUAGAAUUGGCCGAGCUGUGACUCAGCCGGGCCCAGCGGCUCCGCAGGGAAAGCUGGUGGCUGUGCCGGGGGGGAUGCUCCGCACACGGGCAAAGCAUUUAUGAAACUGAUUUCCAAACCAAAAGUGAGCGACGGUCAGAAAAGGGAGGCUAAAGUGAAGAAAUAUGGGCACAGAGGUCGCUCCGCUGAUGGCUGCAUGGGGAAGGCUGCAGUGGAAGACAGGAGCCACUUGCACAUGACUGUGCAAAGAGGGAUACCAAGCCUCCCUGACACUGGGACAAGGAUGAGCCCUGGGGCAGCUUAGAAAUUGACUGUUAGGUCAGAUUGAACUCUGAGCCUGCAAAUCACUGCUUCUGUGAACCCUAUUCAGAUACACAGUUUCUUUGAAGUCAACAGCUGGUAUGAAAAAAAUUCAAAGUAAUGGCGUUACUUACCUGCGUAAAAGCCAUAUUCAUCUGAAGGAGAGAAAUAAAGCUCUGCACACAGCA
Long non-coding RNA from Taeniopygia guttata (zebra finch), 736 nucleotides. RefSeq lists it as uncharacterized. The record is from RefSeq and is a predicted model, not a curated record. NCBI's taxonomy places the organism in Eukaryota, Metazoa, Chordata, Aves, Passeriformes, Estrildidae.